This 440-nucleotide ribosomal RNA is filed under the name uncultured bacterium. Its description in RNAcentral is "partial 16S ribosomal RNA". It matches the Rfam family "Bacterial small subunit ribosomal RNA", at positions 338 to 795 of the family's 1533-position model. The record is from RNAcentral.
CCUACGGGUGGCUGCAGUAGGGAAUAUUGCUCAAUGGGGGAAACCCUGAAGCAGCAACGCCGCGUGGAGGAUGAAGGUUUUCGGAUUGUAAAGCUCUAUCAGCAGGGAAGAUAAUGACGGUACCUGACUAAGAAGCCCCGGCUAACUACGUGCCAGCAGCCGCGGUAAUACGUAGGGGGCAAGCGUUAUCCGGAUUUACUGGGUGUAAAGGGAGCGUAGGUGGCAGGGCAAGUCAGAUGUGAAAACCCGGGGCUCAACCCCGGGAGUGCAUUUGAAACUGUCCAGCUGGAGUGCAGGAGAGGUAAGCGGAAUUCCUAGUGUAGCGGUGAAAUGCAUAGAUAUUAGGAGGAACACCAGUGGCGAAGGCGGCUUACUGGACUGUAACUGACACUGAGGCUCGAAAGCGUGGGGAGCAAACAGGAUUAGAUACCCUUGUAGUC